GGGCUUGUACUGGUUUCGACAGGGGUUUUGCAGCUGGUGAAGCUAUCCGCAUGCAAUGCGUUAAAUGGCAAACUUAAAUAUAAACGCUGAAGAAAAUUUAGCAUACGCUGCUUAAUUAAGCGGCCGUCUGACCUAGUGGACCUACACAUUAGGACCCAGGCGUCGAUUUUGUAGGAAACGACAUAUGCAAAGCUUUGCGCAUGUGGGCGUAAUAUGAAGCUACCAAAGCCGGGAGAGUGUUCGUUCUCGUCCGGUGGAGGGAAUGAAAAAUAACGGACUAUGAUAGUAGAAGAACAGGGAAUAGGCUUUUGGACACGGGUUCGAUUCCCGUCAGGUCCACUA
Molecule: transfer-messenger RNA, 342 nt
Filed under: Lachnospiraceae
Lineage: Bacteria; Bacillati; Bacillota; Clostridia; Lachnospirales
Also listed under: 1 other name
Description: HGM12587 sp017622875 Standard tmRNA
Rfam family: transfer-messenger RNA
About the family: Bacterial tmRNA, also known as 10Sa RNA or SsrA, is named for its dual tRNA and mRNA-like properties. Its role is to liberate the mRNA from a stalled ribosome.
Source: RNAcentral